RNAcentral lists this ribosomal RNA (515 nucleotides) under uncultured bacterium. RNAcentral describes it as "partial 16S ribosomal RNA". It matches the Rfam family "Bacterial small subunit ribosomal RNA", at positions 28 to 523 of the family's 1533-position model. The record is from RNAcentral.
GAUGAACGCUGGCGGCGUGCCUAAUACAUGCAAGUCGAGCGAAUGGAUUAAGAGCUUGCUCUUAUGAAGUUAGCGGCGGACGGGUGAGUAACACGUGGGUAACCUGCCCAUAAGACUGGGAUAACUGCGGGAAACUGGGGCUAAUACCGGAUAACAUUUUGAACCGCAUGGUUCGAAAUUGAAAGGCGGCUUCGGCUGUCACUUAUGGAUGGACCCGCGUCGCAUUAGCUAGUUGGUGAGGUAACGGCUCACCAAGGCAACGAUGCGUAGCCGACCUGGGAGGGUGAUCGGCCACACUGGGACUGAGACACGGCCCAGACUCCUACGGGAGGCAGCAGUAGGGAAUCUUCCGCAAUGGACGAAAGUCUGACGGAGCAACGCCGCGUGAGUGAUGAAGGCUUUCGGGUCGUAGAACUCUGUUGUUAGGGAAGAACAAGUGCUAGUUGAAUAAGCUGGCACCUUGACGGUACCUAACCAGAAAGCCACGGCUAACUACGUGCCAGCCGCCGCAGUAA